RNAcentral lists this ribosomal RNA (447 nucleotides) under uncultured bacterium. RNAcentral's name for it is "bacterial SSU rRNA". It matches the Rfam family "Bacterial small subunit ribosomal RNA", at positions 355 to 825 of the family's 1533-position model. The record is from RNAcentral.
UGGGGAAUAUUGGACAAUGGGGGCAACCCUGAUCCAGCCAUGCCGCGUGAGUGAUGAAGGCCUUCGGGUUGUAAAGCUCUUUUGGCGGGGACGAUGAUGACGGUACCCGCAGAAUAAGCCCCGGCUAACUUCGUGCCAGCAGCCGCGGUAAGACGAAGGGGGCUAGCGUUGUUCGGAAUUACUGGGCGUAAAGCGAGUGUAGGUGGUUGUCAUAGUCAGGUGUGAAAGCCUUGAGCUCAACUCAAGAAAUGCACUUGAUACUGGGCGACUAGAGGACCGGAGAGGAUAGUGGAAUUCCCAGUGUAGUGGUGAAAUUCGUAGAUAUUAGGAAGAACACCGGUGGCGAAGGCGGCUCACUGGCUCGAUACUGACACUGAGGUGCGAAAGCGUGGGGAGCAAACAGGAUUAGAUACCCCUGUAGUCCCUGAGCGGGCUGGCAAGGCGCAU